Long non-coding RNA from Bos taurus (domestic cattle), 334 nucleotides. The record is from Ensembl. NCBI's taxonomy places the organism in Eukaryota, Metazoa, Chordata, Mammalia, Artiodactyla, Bovidae.
CCCCGGGGCCGUAGCAGGUCAAAAGGCCGACUGAGGCUCCCUGACUUUUACUGGAAACAGCAAGUUGCCUGUUUUACAUCCAUGGAGGACAGACGUCUGCUUGGCGUAUCAGGAAACGGGUAUGCCGGCAGGAUAUACUGGAGGCAGGAUUGAUGGAUCAAGAGCCUGCUCUUUGUCAUUGAGUCCCACGGAGGAGGCACCUGUGCAGCUGAAUCUUGAAGGAAGUCAUUCCCUCUCCUGUUCAAGUCAUCCCGCCAGUCCGCCCCAUUGUCUUUGCUUCUUAUGACCUCCUUGCCCCCUCCUUCCUGCCUGUAACCUGCACCCACCCCAGGUG